This 384-nucleotide ribosomal RNA is filed under the name uncultured bacterium. RNAcentral describes it as "bacterial SSU rRNA". It matches the Rfam family "Bacterial small subunit ribosomal RNA", at positions 30 to 417 of the family's 1533-position model. The record is from RNAcentral.
AUUGAACGCUGGCGGCAUGCCUUACACAUGCAAGUCGAACGGCAGCGGACCUUCGGGUGCCGGCGAGUGGCGAACGGGUGAGUAAUAUAUCGGAACGCACCUUUCAGUGGGGGAUAACGUAGCGAAAGUUACGCUAAUACCGCAUAUUCUGUGAGCAGGAAAGCAGGGGAUCGCAAGACCUUGCGCUGAUUGAGCGGCCGAUAUCAGAUUAGCUAGUUGGUGAGGUAAAGGCUCACCAAGGCGACGAUCUGUAGCGGGUCUGAGAGGAUGAUCCGCACACUGGAACUGAGACACGGUCCAGACUCCUACGGGAGGCAGCAGUGGGGAAUUUUGGACAAUGGGCGCAAGCCUGAUCCAGCCAUGCCGCGUGAGUGAAGAAGGCCU